GGAGAGGGCCAGGGGACCGCGGAGGUGAACCCUCCGAGGAAAGUCCGGACUCCACAGGGCAGGUCACUGGGGAAAUCCCAGCGGGGGCGACCUCGGGAAAGUGCCACAGAGAACAGACCGCCGAUGGCCGUCGGGCACAGGCAAGGGUGAAACGGUGGGGUAAGAGCCCACCAGCGGUCCGGGCGACCGGGCCGGCUCGGCAAACCCUGACCGGAGCAAGGCCAAGUAGGAAGGCGCUUGAGGGCUGCCCGCCCGAGCCUUCGGGUAGGCCGCAACAGAUGAAUGGUCCCCCGCGACAGAAUCCGGCUUACAGGCCCUCUCCCAUU
Molecule: RNase P RNA, 326 nt
Filed under: Candidatus Acetothermia bacterium
Lineage: Bacteria; Candidatus Bipolaricaulota
Description: RNase P RNA component class A
Rfam family: Bacterial RNase P class A
About the family: Ribonuclease P (RNase P) is a ubiquitous endoribonuclease, found in archaea, bacteria and eukarya as well as chloroplasts and mitochondria. Its best characterised activity is the generation of mature 5'-ends of tRNAs by cleaving the 5'-leader elements of precursor-tRNAs.
Source: RNAcentral